GCCGCCUAGCUCAGUCGGUAGAGCGCAAGGCUCUUAACCUUGUGGUACCUGGGUUCAAGUCCCAGGGUGGGCG
RNAcentral lists this transfer RNA (73 nucleotides) under Ipomoea nil (Japanese morning glory). It matches the Rfam family "tRNA". From Rfam's summary of the family: Transfer RNA (tRNA) molecules are approximately 80 nucleotides in length. Their secondary structure includes four short double-helical elements and three loops (D, anti-codon, and T loops). Further hydrogen bonds mediate the characteristic L-shaped molecular structure. tRNAs have two regions of fundamental functional importance: the anti-codon, which is responsible for specific mRNA codon recognition, and the 3' end, to which the tRNAs corresponding amino acid is attached (by aminoacyl-tRNA synthetases). tRNAs cope with the degeneracy of the genetic code in two manners: having more than one tRNA (with a specific anti-codon) for a particular amino acid; and 'wobble' base-pairing, i.e. permitting non-standard base-pairing at the 3rd anti-codon position. Lineage: Eukaryota; Viridiplantae; Streptophyta; Magnoliopsida; Solanales; Convolvulaceae. The record is from Rfam by way of RNAcentral.